Molecule: long non-coding RNA, 30568 nt
Filed under: Triticum aestivum (bread wheat)
Lineage: Eukaryota; Viridiplantae; Streptophyta; Magnoliopsida; Poales; Poaceae
Description: long non-coding RNA (TAES_LNC003396)
Source: RNAcentral
UCGGUGGGUGCAUUGCUCGGGUACGCGCAAGGCGCAAGCGAUAAGCGUGUUAUAGCCUGCAUUGGUGAUGGGAGCUUCCAGGUGAGAUAUCCCUCGAUCUGAUGAUCUCUGCUGCCGUGUGCUGCAAUAUAUAUUGCACUAUGUGCUGUUUCUAAUGUGAUGUCCGGGGGAUUCCGUUGUCUGCAGGUGACAGCACAGGAUGUGUCGACUAUGCUGCGGUGCGAACAGAACAGCAUAAUCUUCCUGAUCAACAAUGGCGGGUACACCAUCGAGGUGGAGAUCCACGACGGACCUUACAACGUCAUCAAGAACUGGAACUACACCGCCCUUGUGGAGGCCAUCCACAACGGGGAGGGCAAAUGCUGGACUGCCAAGGUAAGCACGCACUCUUUUGUCCAUUGCGCAAGCAUCAGAGAAGAAGGAGGCGAGCUUGCAGAACUGCUGCUGACGCAUGCUUUUGUGUUGGCGCAGGUGAAGUGCGAGGAGGAGCUGACGGCGGCGAUCGAGAUGGCGCUGGGGGAGAAGGAGGACUCUCUCUGCUUCAUCGAGGUGAUCGCGCACAAGGACGACACCAGCAAAGAGCUUCUGGAAUGGGGCUCCAGGGUCUCUGCUGCCAACUCCAGGCCACCCAAUCCCCAGUAGACAGACCGACCAAAGCCACGCCUGCAUCAGUAGUAGUAGCAGCAGCAGCAGCACGCACGUUGCCCAUCAAAUAAUGUUGAACAGUUUAUCUUUGCUCUUCUGUUAUGUUCUUAGUUUUGUGCCUUGUAGUGACUUGUGCCAUCGCCUGUGUUCUAUCCUGCCAAUGCUACGAAGAUUAUGAGAUAUUUUUAGCUUGCCUCAGCUAUUUUUCUACCUUCUUUCAAAAUGGUCGGCCAAUAUAAAUUGAAAAAUCACGAGCUACUACUGAGCGGCUCCUCGAGGAAUCUAGAAGCGCAAUACAACAUGCAUGGACUCGGAAUAGAAUCUUGCAAAUAUGAUAAGUAGUUUUGGUAAGAAAGUGAGCUAAUAAUGGUAAGCUAGCACUGCAACUUGUGGAGCAGUUCGGCCCUUUUUCUUGAAAAAACGUACUAAUUGUGGAGCAAGUAGGCUUGACGCUUUGUUCUCGGCAAAGGAAAGCCCUGCGUACGUACAUGCAUCUGCUGCAUCUCCUGGAGCUAUUGUGUUUGUUUGUGGGUUUUGAUAUUGCCACCUUGUGCUGCUUUCGCCGGCUAAAAGACGGACAGCGUGCUAGGGAUUGGUCAAUCAACCAUUUAUAACACCUAAAGCGAAAGGCAUGCCCUGCGUUUAUGUGGGCGCCACACCGCAAAUAUCAGAGGCUGCUUUGAGUAGAAAAGUGAGAUAACGACAACCUUUGAAGUUUCCGCAUGUGACAAGGACAGGGUAUCGCCGCUACGUGAUGUGGUUCAUCUGCCGCUUGUUUACCUGAAUGCGUCACGCUGGUUUAGAUUACGGAAAGUUAAAAGCAUCACAGGUAUCCCAACUUGCAUGAAAUGUGAUAAUUUAGUCUUAAGCUUAUAAAAUGCAACUCCACCAUACACCAGCUUGCAUUGGAUGUGUUUGAUUUGGUCCCCGGCCUAUCACAACGCGACAAUUCGCAGCUAGGUGGCCGGACCGGUCGUCGCCAACACUUCUACAGAAAAUACCCUACCGUUUUGUCUAAUUAACCCGCGCUAUAGGGGCACCUGAAUUAAAUUUGUCUCAAAUCCCCUUCGCGCCCGCCCAUUGCUUCUCUGUUAUGUUCCCCAUCUCCAGCUCCCUGCUCCUAGCUUGCUGCUAGCGUCAAGCUUUCAGCCGCAAUCUAGCUCCCCCUCAUGGUCUCGUGGGAUGAUCUCUCGAGCUCCUCGUUUGACGGCGACUCCGUCACAGUUAGGUUAGCCCCCUUGGUGAUGCAGCUAGGGUUAGGUUCAGGCAAGAAAAUUGGGAAUUAGACCGAAGAGGCCUAUUUGUUUUUGUUGUAGGCACCUGCCACCAUUUUCUGCUCGGAAUGGAAAGUCCUUGCUACUGAAUUUGCUUCUAGAUGUGAGCACCUAGCUGUGUGUGAGAAGCUGGUGGCAUUUUCUUCAGUGGAGGAGUGGUAGGAGGUUCUUAGCUUGUGCACAUAAGGUUAGUAGCUAAUUAUUCAUUUUGCAUAGCUUUCUAUUGCUUGAUCUGCGUAGUGUGUUUCAAGUGUUGAUGACUAUGCCAGUGUUUUUGUGUAAUCAUUACGUUUUUAGUUAGCACAGUGAUUCUGCAAUUCACUGGAUUUGUUCGGAGUUAACAUUCAACUGGAUUUUUUCAUUUUGAAUAGUUAACUGAAUUUGUGCAAUGUGAAUAGAUAAUAAUCUUUUGCAGUUAUUAUGUUAACUGUUAACUGAAUUUGUGCAGUGUGGAUAGAUAACUGAGCUUUUUCAGUUAUUAUGUUAAUUGUUAACUGCAUUUGGUUAGUUAACUGCCUUUCUGAACUUAAGUGUUUUCAUUUUACAAAUAUGUCACCAUUUGUGCACAUAACUUAAUUUUUGCACGGGUUUAUGUGAAUUCUCUAUUGGUUUCUGUUUAGGCCUAAUUGUAAAUUUCUCUUUUUUCAAUUGAUAGGAAGCACCUAAAUGCAACUAUGUUGAGUGGGUUGACCCUGAGUGGCUUGCCCCUUUGAAGAUGAGCCCAGCUAGGAUUUGGGACAUGUAUGAGGAUGAGAACAAGCUGAGGCUGAGGCAAAAUGUAGUUAAUGCAGAAGAAAUUUCAAGAUCCUGGGAGAGAAGGAGAAGAUGGAAAAGGAGUUGAGGUUUUUUAAGGUUGAUUUUAUAAAAAAUGUUAGCUCACAAAGAGCAGGCAUUGGCCUAACUAGGCAACACACAGCUUGCUUUGACAGACCUGAAGCAAGAACUUGGGAAGAAGAAAAUUUGUGACAAAUCUGUCACAAAUAUUCAUCAGGUUGUGAGGGCCAAGGUAGAGAAAGAGAGGGACCUAAUGCAGCAGGAGAGGGAAAAUUAAUGGAAGAGAGGGACAAUUUGGUGUUGAAGAGAGAUCAGCUAAAGUAAGAUAAAAAGAAGUUGGAGUAUACGAUGGGUGAUCUUUUCAAGCAUAAGGAGGAAACCAAGGGCUAGAUAAGCAAGCUAAAGGAGAUGCUGAUGAAUUUGAGUGAUGAUGUGCAAUGUUAUUGUAAAAAGUUGUAGUAGCUCUAAUUUGAUGAACUGGCAGAGAUAUUUAAGUGAUUUGUGUGAACUGGCAGAAGUACUUUCUGUAAUGCAGUAUGUGUGAACUUGAGUAAUGUGUGUAAUGCAGCAUAUGUGAACUCUAGUAACUUGCAAGUGUUAAAAUUUAAGUGAUUUGUUUGAAACUGUUAAAAUUUAAAUGAUUUUUACCCAGUUUACUAAAUAUGCCUGAAAGUGUUAAAUUUAAACUGAAUUUUAUCCAGUUAACUGGAUUUGGCUGAAAGUGUUAUAGUUCAAGUGAAUCAGUUAUUGAUCCUGUAUUUUUGAUCCUGUAUUAUAGUUUACUAAAUUUAUCCCCUUAACUGAAUAGUACCAAAAUGUCUCACUAUUGACAGGUAAGUGGAUUUAUCCCCUUAACUGAAAAUUUGACAGAAAGAUAAUUGAACUGUUGUUUAAUACUGUUUCAGUUUACUGCUGUUUCUCAGUUAACUGAAUUCUUUCAGUAAACUAAAUUAUUUCAGUUAACUGAAUUAUUUCUGUUAACUGAAUUCUAAAGGUAAGUUACUUUAUCGAAAUGAGCUAACUGGAUUUUUUAGUUAAUUGAAAGUUACUUUAUCCAGUUUAACUUAAUUUGUGUGUAAGUGUGAAUAGCUAAGUGAUUUGUCCAGCUAACAAAAUUUGGUUCUAAGUGCAAAUUCAAUUAUCUGAAUUUGCAUGAGGAGGCAUCAGUGUACAUCCUAUUUUGGUACAAUGCAAAUUAUUUGCCUACACAAUGUUGCAUUCUCUUUUUUGGAAAGUUGUAGCAAAAAAACAUAGCAAAAAUGGCACAUCACACCAACAUAGGAGCACAUCACAGCAACAAUGGCAGUAAUUUAAAGGAAAUAAAACAUCAUCAUCCAUAGCAUAGUAGAGCAAUACUUGUUCACAUCAAACUCCACUAGCAGAUCAGACAUUAAACUGGUUGACAUGAUCCAUAGCAUACCAUAGUACUUUGUUCACUACUUAACUUAUGUGCUCAAAUAUAGGAGCACACCUAAGCAACAUGCCCAAAAUAUUUCUAACUUAUAUGCUGCAAUAUACUAGCAUACGUAAGCUCUUCUUCAAGCAUCUUCAUUGCAUCAGCGCUAGCUUUAGUUGAUUUUCAACAGCUUCGGGCGCUUCGAGCAGCGAGGUUCCCCUGCAACGAGAGCCCUCUUCUUCCCUGUCGCCCUCUUCUUCUUAUGGCCAUGGCCUAGUUCCUACACCAUGGCCUCCUCCUCAGCUUCUUUCUUGACGAGGGUGAUGUGAGGCAUGAUAACCCACAAGUUUUUAGGGGAUCGCAAUAGUUUUCGAGGGUAGAGUAUUCAAUCCAAAUUUAUAGAUUCAACACAAGGGGAGCCAAAGAAUAUUUGCAAGUAUUAGCAGCUGACUUGUCAAUUCAACCACAGUUGGAGAUUAAUUAUCUGCAUCAAAGUGAUCAGUAGCACAAUAAUAUGAUAGUUUUGAUGGCAGUGGUAACAACAGUAGUAACAGUAACAGUGAUAGCAAUAAUUUUGUAGCAAUUGUGACAGUAGCAAUAACAAUAAUAUCUGAAAAACUUGUAGGCAUUGGAUCGGUGAAUUCGUUGGAUGAUAUUCAUCAUAUAACAUUCAUAACCUAAGGCGGUAGAAAUCUAGCACUAGUUCAUAAAUAUAAUGUAGGCAUGUAUUCUGUAAAUAGUCAUACGUGCUUAUGGAAAGAACUUGCAUGGAAUCUUUUGUCCUACCCUCCCGUGGCAGCGGGGUUCGUAAGGAAACUAAGGGAUAUUAAGGCCUCCUUUUAAUAGAGCAUUGAAACAAAGCAUUAACAAAUAGUGAAUACAUGAACUCCUCAAACUACGGCAUCACCUGAAAAUAUCCCGACUAUUGUCACUCCAGGAUUUGCGGAUCAUAACACGUAUGAGGUGCAUAUAACUUGUAAGAUCGGACAUAGAACAUAGAUAUAAUGGUGAAAACAUAAACGGUUCAGAUCCGAGAUCAUGGCAUCCUAGCCCAAAGUGACAAGCAUUAUGCAUGGCAAAGUCAUAGCAACAUCAAUCUCAGAACAUAAUGUAUACUAGGGAUCAAGCCCUAACAAAACUAACUCGAUUACAUGAUGAAUCUCAUAUAACUCUCUCACCGACCAGCGAGCCUACGAAAGAAUUACUCACUCCCAGUGGGGAGCAUGGAAUUGGCGAUGGAGAAGGGUUGGUGAUGACGAAGAUCAAAGAUUCCCCUCUCCGGAGCCCCAAAUGGGCUCCAUAUCUGGCCUCCCAAUGAAGAACAGGAGGUGGCGGCGGCUCCAUCUCGUGAAACGCGAUAAUUCUUUUUCUCUAUUUUUUUCCCGAAAAUAGGAUUUUAUAGCGUCGGAGAUAGGGUCAGCGGGGCCACCAAGUGGGCACAAUCCACCUGGGCGCACCAGGAGGGGGGCCGCCCUGGUGGGUUGUGCUCACCCAGGGGCCCCCCUUCGGUGGUUCUUGUUGGAAAUAUGCCCUAGAGGCAAUAAUAAAAGGAUUAUUAUUAUAUUUCCUUGUUUAUGAUAAUUGUCUUUUAUUCAUGCUAUAAUUGUGUUAUCCGGAAAUCGUAAUACACGUGUGAAUACAUAGAGACAAUAUGGAUGAAAGAGUUCAUCACCGACCUAGGAGUCAUACCAGAUGCGUCGGGGCCGAUCACUCUCUUCUGUGACAACACUGGAGCUAUUGCCCUUGCCAAGGAGCCCAGGUUUCACAAGAAGACCAGGCACAUCAAGCGUCGUUUCAACUCCAUCUGUGAAAAUGUUCAAAUGGAGACAUAGAUAUUUGCAAAGUACAUACGGAUCUGAAUGUCGAAGAUCCGUUGACUAAACCUCUUCCGCGAGCAAAACAUGAUCAACACCAGAACUCUAUGGGUGUUCGAUUCAUCACAGUGUAACUAGAUUAUUGACUCUAGUGCAAGUAGGAGAUUGUUGGAAAUACGCCCUAGAGGCAAUAAUAAAAGGAUUAUUAUUAUAUUUCCUUGUUUAUGAUAAUUGUCUUUUAUUCAUGCUAUAAUUGUGUUAUCCGGAAAUUGUAAUACACGUGUGAAUACAUAGACCACAAUAUGUCCCUAGUGAGCCUCUAGUUGACUAGCUCGUUGAUCAUCAGAUAGUCAUGGUUUCCUGACUAUGGAAAUUGGAUGUCGUUGAUAACGGGAUCACAUCAUUAGGAGAAUGAUGUGAUGGAUAAGACCCAAUCCUAAGCAUAGCACAAGAUCGUGUAGUUCGUUUGCUAGAGCUUUUCCAAUGUCAAGUAUCUUCUCCUUAGACCAUGAGAUCGUGUAACUCCCGGAUACCGUAGGAGUGCUUUGGGUGUACCAAACGUCACAAUGUAACUGGGUGACUAUAAAGGUAUACUACGGGUAUCUUCGAAAGUGUCUGUUGGGUUGACACGGAUCGAGACUGGGAUUUGUCACUCCGUAUGACGGAGAGGUAUCUCUGGGCCCACUCGGUAAUGCAUCAUCAUAAUGAUCUCAAAGUGACCAAGUGUCUGGUCACGGGAUCAUGCAUUACGGUACGAGUAAAGUGACUUGCCGGUAACGAGACUGAACGAGGUAUUGGGAUACCGACCAUCGAAUCUCGGGCAAGUAACAUACCGAUUGACAAAGGGAAUUGUAUACAGGGUUGCUUGAAUCCUCGACAUCGUGGUUCAUCCGAUGAGAUCAUCGAGGAGCAUGUGGGAGCCAACAUGGGUAUCCAGAUCCCGCUAUUGGUUAUUGACCGGAGAGCAGUCUCGGUCAUGUCUACGUGUCUCCCGAACCCGUAGGGUCUACACACUUAAGGUUCGGUGACGCUAGGGUUGUAGAGAUAUUAGUAUGCAACAAACCAAAAGUUGUUCAGAGUCCCGGAUGAGACCUCGGACGUCACGAGGAGUUCCGGAAUGGUCCGGAGGUAAAGAAUUAUAUAUGGGAAGUCAAGUUUCGGCCAUCGAGAAAGUUUUGGGGGUCACCGGUAUUGUACCGGGACCACCGGAAGGGUCCGGCGGGUCCACCGGGUGGGGCCACCCAUCCCGGAGGGCCCCAUGGGCUGAAGUGGGAGGGGAACCAGCCCCUGGUGGGCUUGUGCGCCCCCCUUGGCCCCCCCUACGCCUAGGGUUGGGAACCCUAGGGGAGGGGGCGCCUCCACUUGCCUUGGGGGGCAAGGCACCCCCUUGGCCGCCCCCCCUAGGAGAUCCCAUCUCCUAGGGCCGGCAACCCCCUGGGGUCCCUAUAUAAAGAAGGGGGAGGGAAGGCAGCCGCACCCUUGCACUUGGUGCCUUCCUUCCCCUUGCUACACCUCUCCCUCCCGCACACGCUUGGCGAAGCCCUGCCGGGAUCCCUGCUGCAUCCACCACCACGCCGUCGUGCUGCUGGAGCUUCAUCAACCUCUCCUUCCCCCUUGCUGGAUUAAGAAGGAGGAGACGUCACGCUGACCGUACGUGUGUUGAACAUGGAGGUGCCGUCCGUUCGGCGCUAGGAUCUCCGGUGAUUUGGAUCACGACGAGUACGACUCCCUCAACCCCGUUCUCUUGAACGCUUCCGCUCGAUCUACAAGGGUAUGUAGAUGCACUCCUCUCUCUCGUUGCUAGAUGAACUCAUAGAUUGAUCUUGGUGAAACCGUAGGAAAUUUUUUGUUUUCUGCAACGUUCCCCUUCAGUGGCAUCAUAAGCUAGGUCUAUGCAUAGUUCUCUUUGCACGAGUAGAACACAAAUCUGUUGUGGGCGUAGAUGUUGUCAACUUUCUUGCCACUACUAGUCUUAUUUUGCUUCAGCGAUAUUGUGGGAUGAAGCGGCCCGGACCGACCUUACAUGUACGCUUACGUAAGACAGGUUCCACCGACUGACAUGCACUAGUUGCAUAAGGUGGCUAGCGGGUGUCUGUCUCUCCCACUUUAGUUGGAGCAGAUUCGAUGAAAAGGGUCCUUAUGAAGGGUAAAUAGAAGUUGACAAAUCACGUUGUGGCUUUUUCGUAGGUAAGAAAACGUUCUUCCUAGAACCCUAUUGCAGCCACGUAAAAGAUGCAACAACAAUUAGAGGACGUCUAACUUGUUUUUGCAGCAAUUGCUUUGUGAUGUGAUAUGGCCAAAAGUUGUGAUGAAUGAUGAAUGAUAUAUUGUGAUGUAUGAGAUCAUGUUCUUGUAAUAGGAAUCACGACUUGCAUGUCGAUGAGUAUGACAACCGACAGGAGCCAUAGGAGUUGUCUUAAUUAUUGUAUGACCUGCGUGUCAAUGAUUUAACGUCAUGUAAUUACUUUACUUUAUUGCUAAACCGUUAGCUAUAGUAGUAGAAGUAAUAGUUGGCGAGCAACUUCAUGGAGACACGAUGAUGGAGAUCAUGAUGAUGGAGAUCAUGGUGUCAUGCCGGUGACGAAGAUGAUCAUGGAGCCCCGAAGAUGGAGAUCAAAGGAGCUAUAUGAUAUUGGCCAUAUCAUGUCACUACUAUUUGAUUGCAUGUGAUGUUUAUCAUGUUUUUGCAUCUUGUUUACUUAGAACGAUGGUAGUAAAUAAGAUGACCCCUCAUAAUAAUUUCAAGAAAGUGUUCCCCCUAACUGUGCGCCGUUGCGACAGUUCGUUGUUUUAAAGCACCACGUGAUGAUCGGCUGUGAUAGAUUCUAACGUCACAUACAACGUGUGUAAGACAGAUUUACACAUGCAAAACACUUAGGUUAACUUGACGAGCCUAGCAUGUACAAACAUGGCCUCGGAACACAAAGAUCGAAAGGUCGAACAUGAGUCAUAUGGAAGAUACGAUCAACAUGGAGAUGUUCACUGAUGAUGACUAGUCCGUCUCACGUGAUGAUCGGACACGGCCUAGUCAACUCGGAUCAUGUAACACUUAGAUGACUAGAGGAUGUCUAAUCUGAGUGGGAGUUCAUUAAAUAAUUUGAUUAGAUGAACUUAGUUAUCAUGAACUUAGUCUAAAAUCUUUGCAAAAAAUGUCUUGUAGAUCAAAUGGCCAACGCUCAUGUCAACAUGAACUUCAACACGUUCCUAGAGAAAACCAAGCUGAAAGAUGAUGGCAGCAACUAUACAGACUGGGUCCGGAACCUAAGGAUCAUCCUCAUAGCUGCCAAGAAAGCAUAUGUCCUAGAAGGACCACUAGGUGAAGCACCCAUCCCAGAGAACCAAGACGUUAUGAACGCUUGGCAGUCACGUGCUGAUGAUUACUCCCUCGUUCAGUGUGGCAUGCUUUACAGCUUAGAACCGGGGCUCCAAAAGCGUUUUGAGCAACACGGAGCAUAUGAGAUGUUCGAGGAGCUGAAAAUGGUUUUCCAAGCUCAUGCCCGGGCCGAGAGAUAUGAAGUCUCUCACAAGUUCUAUAGUUGUAAGAUGGAGGAAAAUAGUUCUGUCAGUGAGCACAUACUCAAAAUGUCUGGGUUGCACAACCGCCUGUCCCAGCUGGACAUUAACCUCCCGGACGAGGCGGUCAUUGACAGAAUCCUUUAGUCGCUCCCACCGAGCUACAAGAGCUUUGUGAUGAACUACAAUAUGCAGGAGAUGGUGAAAACUAUUCCUGAAGUAUUUUCAAUGCUGAAGUCAGCAGAGGUAGAAAUCAAAAAGGAACAUCAAGUGUUGAUGGUCAAUAAAACCACUAAGUUCAAGAAAGGCAAGGGUAAGAAGAACUUCAAGAAGGACGGCAAGGAUGUUGCCACACCCGGUAAUCCAAUUGCCGGGAAGAAGUCAAAGAAUGGACCCAAGCCUGAAACUAAGUGCUUUUAUUGCAAAGGGAAGGAUCACUGGAAGCGGAACUGCCCCAAAUACUUAGCGGGCAAGAAGGCCGGCAACACAAAAGGUAUAUGUGAUAUACAUGUAAUUGAUGUGUACCUUACCAGUGCUCGUAGUAGCUCCUGGGUAUUUGAUACCGGUGCCGUUGCUCAUAUUUGUAACUCAAAGCAGGAGCUGCGGAAUAAGCGGAGACUGGCGAAGGACGAGGUGACGAUGCGCGUCGAGAAUGGUUCCAAGGUCGAUGUGAUCGCCGUCGGCAUGCUACCUCUAUAAUUACCCACGAGAUUAGUUUUAAACCUCAAUAAUUGUUAUUUAGUGCCAACUUUGAGCAUGAACAUUGUAUCUGGAUCUCAUUUAAUGCGAGAUGGCUACUCAUUUAAAUCCGAGAAUAAUGGUUGUUCUAUUUAUACGAGAGAUAUGUUUUAUGGUCAUGCCCCGAUGGUCAGUGGUUUAUUAUUAAUGAAUCUCGAACGUAAUGUUACACAAAUUCAUAGUGUGAAUACCAAAAGAAGUAAAGUUGAUAACAAUAGUCCCACAUACUUGUGGCACUGCCGUCUUGGUCACAUUGGUGUCAAGCGCAUGAAGAAGCUCCAUGCAGAUGGACUUUUAGAGUCUCUCGAUUAUGAAUCAUUUGACACAUGCGAACCAUGCCUCAUGGGCAAAAUGACCAAGACUCCAUUCUCCGGAACAAUGGAGCGAGCAACCAACUUAUUGGAAAUCAUACAUACUGAUGUGUGCGGUCCAAUGAGCGUUGAGGCUCGCGGAGGAUAUCGUUAUGUUCUCACUCUCACUGAUGACUUGAGUAGAUAUGGGUAUGUCUACUUGAUGAAACACAAGUCUGAGACCUUUGAAAAGUUCAAGGAAUUUCAGGAUGAAGUAGAGAAUCAACGUGACCGAAAAAUAAAGUUCUUACGAUCAGAUUGUGGAGGAGAAUAUUUAAGUCACAAAUUUGGUACGCACUUAAGGAAAUGUGGAAUCGUUUCACAACUCACGCCGCCUGGAACACCUCAGCAUAACGGUGUGUCCGAACGUCAUAAUCGCACUCUAUUGGAUAUGGUGCAAUCUAUGAUGUCUCUUACCGAUUUACCGCUAUCAUUUUAGGGAUACGCUCUAGAGACAACUACAUUCACUUUAAAUAGGGCUCCGUCUAAAUCCGUUGAGACGACACCAUAUGAAUCAUGGUUUGGGAAGAAACCUAAGCUGUCGUUUCUAAAAGUUUGGGGAUGCGAUGCUUAUGUCAAGAAACUUCAACCUGAAAAGCUCGAACCCAAGUCAGAAAAAUGCGUCUUCAUAGGAUACCCUAAGGAAACCAUUUUGUAUACCUUCUACCUUAGAUCCAAAGGCAAGAUCUUUGUUGCCAAGAACGGAUCCUUUCUGGAAAAAGAGUUUCUCUCGAAAGGAGUAAGUGGGAGGAAAGUAGAACUUGAUGAAGUACUACCUCUUGAACCGGAAAGUAGUGCAGCUCAGGAAAAUGUUCCUGUGGUGCCUACACCGACUGGAGAGGAAAUUAAUGAUGAUGAUCAAGGUACUUCGGAUCAAGUUGCUACUGAACUUCGUAGGUCCACAAGGACACGUUCCACACCAGAGUGGUAUGGCAACCCUGUCCUGGAAAUCAUGUUGUUAGACAACGGUGAACCUUCGAACUAUGAAGAAGUGAUGGCGGGCCCAGAUUCCAACAAAUGGCUUGAAGCCAUGCAAUCCGAGAUAGAAUCCAUGUAUGAAAACAAAGUAUGGACUUUGACAGACUUGCCCGAUGAUCGGCGAGCGAUAGAAAAUAAAUGGAUCUUUAAGAAGAAGACGGACGCGGAUGGUAAUGUUGCCAUCUAUAAAGCUCGACUUGUCGCUAAGGGUUAUCGGCAAGUUCAAGGGGUUGACUACGAUGAGACUUUCUCUCCCGUAGCGAAGCUGAAAUCCGUCCGAAUCAUGUUAGCAAUUGCUGCAUACUAUGAUUAUGAGAUAUGGCAGAUGGACGUCAAAACGGCAUUCCUUAACGUCUAUCUUAAGGAAGAACUGUAUAUGAUGCAGCCGGAAGGUUUUGUCGAUCCUAAGAAUGCUAACAAGGUAUGCAAGCUCCAGCGAUCCAUUUAUGGGCUGGUGCAAGCAUCUCGGAGUUGGAACAUCCGCUUUGAUGAGAUGAUCAAGGCGUUUGGGUUUUGCAGACUUAUGGAGAAGCCUGCGUUUACAAGAAAGUGAGUGGGAGCUCUAUAGCAUUUAUCAUAUUAUAUGUAGAUGACAUACUUCUGAUGGGAAAUGAUAUAGAACUUUUGGACAGCAUUAAGGCCUACUUGAAUAAGUGUUUUUCAAUGAAGGAUCUUGGAGAAGCUGCUUACAUAUUAGGCAUCAAGAUCUAUAGGGAUAGAUCGAGAUGCCUCAUAGGUCUUUCACAAAGCACAUACCUUGAUAUGAUAUUGAAGAAGUUCAAUAUGGAUCAGUCCAAGAAAGGGUUCUUGCCUGUAUUGCAAGGUGUGAGAUUGAGCUCGGCUCAAUGCCCGACCACGGCAGAAGAUAAAGAAGAGAUGAGUGUCAUCCCCUAUGCCUCAGCCAUAGGAUCUAUUAUGUAUGCCAUGCUGUGUACCAGACCUGAUGUAAACCUUGCCAUAAGUUUGGUAGGAAGGUACCAAAGUAAUCCUGGCAAGGAACACUAGACAGCGGUCAAGAAUAUCCUGAAGUACCUGAAAAGGACAAAGGACAUGUUUCUCGUUUAUGGAGGUGACGAAGAGCUCGUCAUAAAGGGUUACGUCGAUGCUAGCUUCGACACAGAUCUAGAUGACUCUAAGUCACAAAUCGGAUACAUGUAUAUGUUGGAGCAGUAAGCUGGUGCAGUUGCAAGCAGAGCGUCAUGGCGGGAUCUACAUGUGAAGCGGAGUACAUGGCAGCCUCGGAGGCAGCGCAUGAAGCAAUAUGGAUGAAAGAGUUCAUCACCGACCUAGGAGUCAUACCAGAUGUGUCGGGGCCGACCACUCUCUUCUGUGACAACACUGGAGCUAUUGCCCUUGCCAAGGAGCCCAGGUUUCACAAGAAGACCAGGCACAUCAAGCGUCGUUUCAACUCUAUCUGUGAAAAUGUUCAAGAUGGAGACAUAGAUAUUUGCAAAGUACAUACGGAUCUGAAUGUCGCAGAUCCAUUGACUAAACCUCUUCCGCGAGCAAAACAUGAUCACCACCAGAACUCUAUGGGUGUUCGAUUCAUCACAAUGUAACUAGAUUAUUGACUCUAGUGCAAGUGGGAGACUGUUGGAAAUAUGCCCUAGAGGCAAUAAUAAAAGGAUUAUUAUUAUAUUUACUUGUUUAUGAUAAUUGUCUUUUAUUCAUGCUAUAAUUGUGUUAUCCGGAAAUCGUAAUACACGUGUGAAUACAUAGACCACAAUAUGUCCCUAGUGAGCCUCUAGUUGAGUAGCUCGUUGAUCAACAGAUAGUCAUGGUUUCCUGACUAUGGACAUUGGAUGUCGUUGAUAACGGGAUCACAUCAUUAGGAGAAUGAUGUGAUGGACAAGACCCAAUCCUAAGCAUAGCACAAGCUCGUGUAGUUCGUUUGCUAGAGCUUUUCCAAUGUCAAGUAUCUUCUCCUUAGACCAUGAGAUCGUGUAACUCCCGGAUACCGUAGGAGUGCUUUGGGUGUACCAAACGUCACAACGUAACUGGGUGACUAUAAAGGUAUACUACGGGUAUCUCCGAAAGUGUCUGUUAGGUUGACACGGAUCGAGACUGGGAUUUGUCACUCCGUAUGACGGAGAGGUAUCUCUGGGCCAACUCGUAAUGCAUCAUCAUAAUGAGCUCAAAGUGACCAAGUGUCUAGUCACAGGAUCAUGCAUUACGGUAUGAGUAAAGUGACUUGCCGGUAACGAGAUUGAACGAGGUAUUGGGAUACCGACGAUCGAAUCUCGGGCAAGUAACAUACCGAUUGACAAAGGGAAUUGUAUAUGGGGUUGCUUGAAUCCUCGACAUCGUGGUUCAUCCGAUGAGAUCAUCGAGGAGCAUGUGGCAGCCAACAUGGGUAUCCAGAUCCCGCUGUUGGUUAUUGACCUGAGAGCAGUCUUGGUCAUGUCUAUGUGUCUCCCGAACCCGUAGGGUCUACACACUUAAGGUUCGGUGAUGCUAGGGUUGUAGAGAUAUUAGUAUGCAGCAAACCGAAAGUUGUUCGGAGUCCCAGAUGAGAUACCGGACAUCACGAGGAGUUCCGGAAUGGUUCGGAGGUAAAGAAUUAUAUAUGGUAAGUCGAGUUUCGGCCAUCAGGAAAGUUUCGGGGGUCACUGGUAUUGUACCGGGACCACCGGAAGGGUCCCGGGGGUCCACCGGGUGGGGCCACCCAUCCCGGAGGGCCCCAUGGGCUGAAGUGGGAGGGGAACCAACCCCUAGUGGUCUGCUGCGCCCCCCUUGGGCCCCCUGCCCCUAGGGUUGGGAACCCUAGGGGAGGGGGCGCCUCCACUUGCCUUGGGGGGCAAGGCACCCCCUUGGCCUCCGCCCCCCUAGGAGAUCCCAUCUCCUAGGGACGGUGCCCCCCCUGGGGUCCCUAUAUAAAGAAGGGGGAGGGAGGGCAGCCGCACCCUUGCACUUGGCGCCUCCCUUCCCCUUGCUACACCUCUCCCUCCCACAGACGCUUGGCGAAGCCCUGUUGGGUUCCCUGCUGCAUCCACCACCAGGUCGUCGUGCUGCUGGAUCUUCAUCAACCUCUCCUUCCCCCUUGCUGGAUCAAGAAGGAGGAGACGUCACGCUAACCGUACAUGUGUUGAACACGGAGGUGCCAUCCGUUCGGCGCUAGGAUCUCCGGUGAUUUGGAUCACGACGAGUACGACUCCCUCAACCCGUUCUCUUGAACGCUUCCGCUUGAUCUACAAGGGUAUGUAGAUGCACUCCUCUCUCUCGUUGCUAGAUGAACUCAUAGAUUGAUCUUGGUGAAACCGUAGGAAAAUUUUUGUUUUCCGCAACGUUCCCCUUCAGUUCUUGGCUCCAGUAUUUUUCUUUUAUUCCAUAAAAAUUCUCCAAAAAGUUUCGUUCCAUUCCGGGAACUUUUAUUUUUGCACAAAAACACACCAUGAUAGUUCUGCUGAAAACAGCAUCAGUCCGGGUUAGUAUCAUUCAAAUCAUGUAAAUUAGAGUCCAAAACAAGAGCAAAAGCAUUAGGAAAAGUAGAUAUGACGGAGACGUAUCAAGUCCCCCAAGCUUAAACCUUUGUUUGUCCUCAAGCAAUUUAGUUGAUAAACUGAAAGUGAAAAAGAAAAACUUUUACGAACACUUUUGCUCUUGUUUACAUAAAUAAGGUUAAGUAGCACCCAGGUUUUUAGCAAAGAUUAUGGCUAACCAUGUCGAUAAUAACUCUUAAAAAUUAUAUUAACUCAUAUCAAUGGCAUAAUCAACUAGAGAGCAAUAAUAAGAUAUCUCAAAUGACAACACUUUGUCAACACAACCAUGGUAUAGUAUGACAAUAGUGGUAUCUCGCUAGUCCUUUCUGAGACCGCAAAACAUAAAUGCAGAGCACCUCCAAAGUUCAUGCAACGACUAAACAUUGUAAUUCAUGGUAGAAAAGAUCCAGUCAUGAUGCACCCAACAUUAAUGAUACACAAUGCAGGAGGAUGACAAUAGUGCUCUCAGAUAUGGCCCUUAUUUGCGAAGGUGAUGACUCAACAUAAAAGUAAAUAGAUAGUCCCUUCACAGAGGGAAGCAGGGAUUUGCAAUGGUGCCAGAGCUCAGAUUUUUAAAACAGAGAUAAAUGAAAAUUUGAGAAAUGAACCCUUCAUGUUUACUUUGCGACCAUCAGUUAUCGAUAUCUUACAUGCUAAACACAUUAGUGGGGUUCCCAAGCGAUAAAAGUAAAGGUUUACCCCCCUCCACCAACAAACACAUUCCACGGCUAGCUGAAUCCAUGGGUACCGUCCAUACCAGCAUCAUUUCUGGGGGAGUUUUGUUUAACUAUUUGCAAUUUGAAUUCGGGACUGGGAAUCCCUAUUACCGCCCCUCUCGUGCAAGGACAAGUGAAUAAACACUCAUCAUGAGAAUAACCCACUUAGCAUGGAAGAUAACGGCUACCUCCUGUCGCUCUACGAACAAUCCAGGCACACAAAAACGGAAGUUUGUUUGAGGUUUUUAGAGGUGGCACAUGCAAAUUUACUUAGAACGGCAGGGUAAUACCAUAUAUAGGUAGAUAUAAUGGACUCAUGUGGAAUAACUCUAGGUUUAGGAUUUUGAUGCACAAGUAGUAUUCCUCUUAGUACAGGCGAAUGCUAGCAAAUAGGUUGAGAAGCGGCCAGCUAGAGAGCGAAAACGGUCACGAACAUGCAUUAUGCAUAAUAAACAUUGAGUACUAGCAUGAGUAGGAUAUGAACACCAUGAACAUAAAUAUCAGGUUUUGAUUCAACUACAUGCAUGAACAUGUGCCAAGUCAAGCCACUCGAACAUUCAGAGGAGGAUACCAUAUCAUCAUACUACAUCACAACCAUUUUAACGCAAUGUUGACAUCCAAGAUAAAUCAUUAUCCACUCCUAGCUACUUAAACAUGGCAUGAGAAACUAUAAUAUCUAAUUGUCAUUACAACAUGUUUGAUCAUAAUAUGUUGAAUCAUGGAUACUAGGUUAAACAUAUUUACAAAAACAGAACAAGUUGAGUUCAUACCUGUUUCUCUCUGCCACAGCCAGUUCAUCAAAUAUCGUCAUUAUUGCCUUUCACUUGCACGACCAAAUGAUAUGAGAAUAAUAAUAGUGCAAGAGUGUCAUGGACUAAGCUGGAAUCUGCAAACAUUUUAUUCAACAAGGAGAAGACAAGGUAAUAAGGCCCUUUGUUGGAUCAAUAUAAAUGCAUAUGAGAGCCACUCAAUAGUUUCAUCGUGGUCUUCUCCUUAGUAUGACUCAAUAAAAAGAAAAGAGGUUCAGAGAAACACACUGAAAUAAUUUUGGAAUUUUUAGUUUUUCUUGAAGAAAGCCAAUGAUACAUCCAUUUUGCAUCAUGAUUUUAUAUCGAUAUUUAUUGCAUUAUGGGCUGUUAUUACACGUUAUGUCACAAUACUUAUGCCUUUUCUCUAUUAUUUUGUAAGGUUUGCACGAAGAGGGAGAAUGCCGGCAGCUGGAAUUCUGGGUUGGAAAAGGAGCAAAUAUUAGAGACCUAUUCUGCACAACUCCAAUAGUCCAGAAACUACACGAAAGUCAAUUUUGGAAUAUAUUAAAAAUAUUGGACGAAGAAAACACCAGAGGGGGCCACCCAGCAGCCACGAGGGUGGAGGGCGCGCCCUACCCCCUGGGCUCGCCCCUGCCUCGUGGGCCACCUGGCAGGCCUCCGAUGCCCAUCUUCUGCUAUAUGGUGUCUUUUGCCCUGAAAAAAAGCACAAGGAAGCUUUCGGGACGAAGCGCCGCCGUCUCGAGGCGGAACCUGGGCGGAACCAAUCUAGGGCUCUAGCGGAGCUGUUCUACCAGGUAAACAUCCCUCCGGGAGGGGGAAAUCACCGCCAUCGUCAUCACCAUCGAUCCUCUCAUCGAGAGGGGGUCAAUCUCCAUCAACAUCUUCACCAGCACUAUCUCCUCUCAAACCCUAGUUCAUCUCUUGUAUCUGAUCUUUGUCUCAAAACCUCUUAUUGGUACCUGUGGGUUGCUAGUAGUGUUGAUUACUCAUUGUAGUUGAUGCUAGUUAGUUUAUUUGAUGGAAGAUCAUAUGUUCAGAUCCUUAAUGCUAUUAAAUACCCCUCUAAUUAUGAACAUGAAUAUGAUUUGUGAGUAGUUAUGUUUGUUCCUAAGGACAUGGGAGAAGUCUUGUUAUAAGUAAUCAUGUGAAUUUGGUAUUCAUUCGAUAUUUUGAUGAGAUGUAUGUUGUCUUUCCUGUAGUGGUGUUAUGUGAACAUCGACUACAUGACACUUCACCAUUGUUUGGGCCUAGGGGAAGGCAUUGGGAAGUUAUAACUAGAUGAUGGGUUGCUAGAGUGACAGAAGCUUAAACCCUAGUUUAUGUGUUGCUUCAUAAGGGGCUGAAUUGGAUCCAUAUGUUUCAUGCUAUGGUUAGGUUUACCUUAAUUCUUCUUUUGUAGUUGCGGAUGCUUGUGAGAGGGGUUAAUCAUAAGUGGGAUGCUUGUCCAAGGAAGGGCAGUACCCAAGCACCGGUCCACCCACAUAUCAAAUUAUUAGUAACGAACGCGAAUCAUAUAAGCAUGAUGAAAACUAGCUUGAUAGUAAUUCCCAUGUGUCCUCAGCAGCGCUUUGCUUUAUAUAAGAGUUUGUCCAGGAUUGUAAUUAGCUGCAAAAAGGGUUGGGACACCUUGCUGCACCUUGUUUACUAUUGUUACUUGUUACUCGUUACGAAUUACCUUAUCACAAAACUAUCUGUUACCGAUAAUUUCAGUGCUUGCAGAGAAUACCUUACUGAGAACCGCUUCUCAUUUCCUUCUGCUCCUCGUUGGGUUUGACACUCUUACUUAUCGAAAGGAAUACGAUAGAUCCCCUAUACUUGUGGGUCAUCAAGACUCUAUUCUCGCGCCGUUGCCGGGGAGUGAAGCGCCUUUGGUAGGUUGAAUUUGGUAAGGAAUCAUUUAUAUAGUGUGCCGAAAUUUACUGUCACUUGUUACUAUGGAAAAUAAUCCUUUGACGGGCUUGUUCGGGGUAUCUUCACCCCAAACAAAAGUGCAAAGAGUUUCUCCUCAACCUACUGAACCUACUGAAAAUAUUUACUUUGAAAUUCCUUCGGGUAUGAUAGAGAAACUGCUAGCUAAUCCCUAUACAGGAGAUGGAACAUUACAUCCUGAUAUGCACCUAAUCUAUGUGGAUGAAGUUUAUGGAUUGUUUAAGCUUGCAGGUAUGCCCGAGGAUGUUGUCAAGAAUAAGGUCUUCCCUUUAUCUUUGAAGGGAAAGGCAUUGACAUGUUUUAGGCUAUGUGAUGAUAUUGGAUCAUGGAACUACAACCGAUUGAAAUUGGAAUUUCAUCAGAAGUUUUAUCCUAUGCAUCUGGUUCAUCGUGAUCAUAAUUAUAUAUAUAAUUUGUGGCCUCGCGAAGGAGAAAGUAUUGCUCAAGCUUGGGGGAGGCUUAAUUCAAUGUUAUGUUCAUGCCCCAAUCAUGAGCUCUUGAGAGAAAUUAUUAUUCAAAAUUUUAUGCUCGACUUUCUCUCAACAAUCGCUCCAUGCUCGAUACUUCUUGUACCGGUUCUUUUUGAUGAAGACUAUUGAAUUCAGAUGGGAUUUUUCGGAAUGAAUUAAAUGCAACUCUGAAGAUUGGGAACUCGGCGAAGGUAAGGAGUCAGGUAUGACACCUAAGUUUGAUUCUGUUAAAUCUUUUAUGGAUACCGAUGCUUUUUGUGAAUUUAGCACUAAUAUGGACUUGACUCUGAGAUAGUAGCUUCUUUCUGCGAAUCAUUUGCUACUCACGUUGAUCUCCCUAAGGAGAAGUGGUUUAAAUAUCAUCCCCAUUGAAGUGAAAGUAGUAGAACCUAUUAAAGUUGAAGAAAAGACUAUCAAUUAUAAUGUUGAUCCUAUUGUUCCUACUGCUUAUAUUGAGAAACCACCCUUCCUGUUAGAAUAAAGGAUCAAGCUAAAGAUUCAACUGUGGUUUGUAAAAGUAAUGCUAGAACACCUACACCCCCCUGAGAAAAUUAAAGUUGAACCUAGUAUUGCUAUGGUUAAAGAUCUCUUACUCGAUAAUAUUGAUGGGCAUGUUAUUUAUUUCUAUGAUGAAGUUGCUAGUAUUGUAGACCUGAUACUAAAAUUAAACAUAGACCUAUUGUUGGCAUGUCUAUUGUUUCUAUUAAAAUAGGAGAUCAUUGUUAUCAUGGUUUAUGUGAUAUGGGUGCUAGUGUGAGUGCAGUACCUCAUUCCUUAUACAAAGAAAUUAUGCAUGAUAUUGCACCUGCUGAAAUAGAAGAUAUUGAUGUUACAAUUAAGCUUGCCAAUAGAGACACUAUUUCACCAAUUGGGAUUGGUAGAGAUGUUGAAGUCUUGUGUGGGAAAAUUAAAUACCCUACUGAUUUUCUUGUUCUUGGUUCCCCGCAAGAUGACUUUUGUCCCAUUAUAUUUGGUAGACCCUUCUUGAAUACUGUUAAUGCUAAGAUAGACUGCGAAAAUGAUAUUGUUACUGUUGGUUUAGGGGAUAUGUCUCAGGAUUUUAAUUUUGCUAAAUUUCGUAGACAAUCCCAUGAUAAGGAAUUGCCUAGUAAAGAUGAAAUUAUUGGUCUUGCUUCUAUUACCGUGCCUCCUAAUGAUCCUUUAGAAGAAUAUUUGCUAGACCAUGAAAAUGAUAUGUUUAUGAAUGAAAGAAGGGAAAUAGAUGAAGUAUUCUUUAAGCAGGGACCUAUUUUGAAACACAACUUGCCAGUUGAAAUCCUAUAGGAUCCUCCUCCACCCAAAGGAGAUCCUGUGUUUGAGCUUAAACAAUUACCUGGUACUCUUAAAUAUGCUUAUCUUGAUGAAAAGAAGAUAUAUCCUAUUAUUAUUAGUGCUAACCUUUCAGAGCAUGAAGAAGAGAAAUUAUUGAAAACUCUGAAGAAGCAUCAUGCCGCUAUUCGAUAUACUCUGGAUGAUCUUAAGGGCAUUAGUCCCACUUUAUGCCAGCAUAAAAUAAAAUUGGAGAAAGAUGCUAAACCAGUUCUUGAUCACCAACGACGGUUGAAUCCUAAGAUGAAAGAAGUGGUAAGAAACGAAAUAGUAAAGCUUCUGGAGGCAGGUAUAAUUUAUCCUAUCGCUGAUAGUCAGUGGGUAAGUCCUGUCCAUUGUGUCCCUAAGAAGGGAGGUAUUACUGUUGUUCCUAAUGAUAAGGAUGAAUUGAUCCCACAAAGAAUUGUUACAGGUUAUAGAAUGGUAAUUGAUUUCUGCAAAUUAAAUAAAGCUACUAGAAAGGAUCAUUACCCUCUAGCUUUUAUUGAUCAAAUGCUAGAAAGACUAUCUAAACAUACACAUUUUUGCUUUCUAGAUGGUUAUUCUGGUUUCUCUCAAAUACCUUUGUCAAAAGAGGAUCAGGAUAAGACCACUUUUACUUGCCCUUUCGGUACCUUUGCUUAUAGACGUAUGCCUUUUGGUUUAUGCAAUGCACUUGCUACAUUUCAAAGAUGUAUGACUGCUAUAUUCUCUGACUUUUGUGAAAAGAUUGUUGAGGUUUUCAUGGAUGAUUUCUCCAUUUAUGGAACUCUUUUGAUGAUUGAUUAAGCAACCUUGAUCGAGUUUUGCAGAGAUGCGAAGAAACUAAUCUUGUCUUGAAUUGGGAGAAGUGCCACUUUAUGGUUAAUGAAGGUAUUGUCCUGGGGCAUAAAAUUUCUAAAAGAGGUAUUGAAGUUGAUAAAGCUAAAGUAGAUGCUAUUGAAAAGAUGUUGUGUCCUAAGGACAUUAAAGGUAUAAGAAGUUUCCUUGGUCAUGUUAGUUUUUAUAGGAGGUUUAUUAAAGACUUCUCUAAAAUUUCCAGGCCUCUGACUAAUAUCUUACAAAAAGAUGUUCCUUUUGUCUUUGAUGAUGGUUGUGUAGAAGCAUUUGAAAUACUUAAGAAAGCCUUGAUUUCUGCACCUAUUGUUCAGCCACCUGAUUGAAAUUUACCCUUUGAAAUUAUGUGUGAUGCUAGUGAUUAUGUUGUAAGUGUUGUUCUAGGACAAAGAGUUGAUAAGAAAUUAAAUGUUAUCCAAUAUGCUAGAAAAACUCUAGACAGUGCCCAGAGAGAUUAUGCUACUACUGAAAAAGAACUUUUAGCAGUUGUGUUCGCUUGUGACAAGUUCAGACCUUAUAUUGUUGAUUCCAAAGUAACUAUUCACGCAGAUCGUCUGCUAUUAAAUACCUUAUGGAAAAGAAAGAUGCUAAACCUAGACUUAUUAGAUGGGUUCUCUUGCUACAAGAAUUUUAUUUGCAUAUUAUUGAUAGAAAGGGAGCUGAGAACCCCGUUGCAGACAACUUGUCUAGGUUAGAAAAUGUUCUUGAUGACCCACUACCUAUUGAUGAUAGCUUUUCUGAUGAACAAUUAGCUAUCAUAAAUGCUUCUCAUACUGUUCCAUGGUAUGCUGAUUAUGCUAAUUACAUUGUUGCUAAAUUUAUACCACCUAGCUUCACAUACCAGCAAAAGAAAAGGUUUUUCUAUGAUUUAAGACAUUAAUUUUGGAAUGACCCACACCUUUAUAAAGGAGUAGAUGGUGUUAUUAGACAUUGUGUACCUGAGCAUGAACAUGAACAGAUCCUACGCAAGUGUCACUCUGAGGCUUAUGGAGGACACUCCACUGGAGAUAGAAUUGCACAUAAGGUAUUGCAAUCCGGUUUUUAUUGGCAUACUCUUUUCAAAGAUGUCCGUAAGUUUGUCUUGUCUUGUGAUGAAUGUCAAAGAAUUGGUAAUAUUAGUAGACAUCAAGAAAUGCCUAUGAACUAUUCACUUGUUAUUGAACCAUUUGAUGUUUGAGGCUUUGAUUAUAUGGGACCUUUUCCUUCCUCUAAUGGGUAUACACAUAUUUUAGUUGCUGUUGAUUACGUUACUAAGUGGGUAGAAGCUAUUCCAACUAGUAGUGCUGAUCAUAACACCUCUAUUAAGAUGCUUAAAGAAGUUAUUUUUCCGAGGUUUGGAUUCCCUAGAUAUUUAAUGACUGAUGGUGGUUCACUUUUUAUUCAUGGUUCUUUUCAUAAAAUGCCUGCUAAGUAUGAUGCAUGGAAUUGUAUCUCCAUACCAUCCAUAGUCUAGUGGUCAAGUAGAAUUGAGUAAUAGAGAGAUUAAAUUAAUCUUGCAAAAGACCGUUAAUAGAUCUAGAAAGAAUUGGUCCAAGAAACUUGAUGAUGCAUUAUGGGCCUAUAGAACUGCAUAUAAAAAUCCUAUGGGUAUGUAUCCAUAUAAAAUGGUUUAUGGAAAAGCAUGUAACUUACCUCUCGAACUAGAACAUAAGGCAUAUUGGGCUAUUAAAGAGCUCAAUUAUGAUUUCAAACUCACCAGUGAGAAGGGGCUAUUUGACAUUAGUUCACUUGAUGAAUGGAGAACCCAAUCCUAUGAGAAUGCCAAAUUGUUUAAAGAAAAAGUUAAAAGAUGGCACAAUAAAAGGAUACAAAAGUGUGAGUUUAAUGUAGGUGAUUAUGUUUUGCUAUAAAACUCUUGUUUAAGAUUUUUUGCAGGAAAACUUCUUUCUAAAUGGGAAGGUCCUUAUGUUAUCAAGGAGGUCUAUCAUUCCGGUGCCAUAAAAAUCAACAACGUCGAAGGCACAAAUCCAAAGGUGGUGAACGGUCAAAGAAUCAAACAAUAUACCUCAGGUAAUCCCAUAAAUGUUGAAACCAAUGUUAUUUACACCGGAACCCCGGAGGUGUACAUAAGGGACACUUUCCAGAACGCUUCAGACUCCAAAAAGGAAUAGGUAUGUGGUACGGUAAGUAAACCGACUCCAAAACUGCUCAAAUAGCGAUUUUCUCCAUUUUGGAAUAUUAAAAAAAUUAGGAAAAUAAGAAGUAGUCCGAAAGAGACACGAGGCAUCCACGAGGGUGGAGGGUGCGCCCUACCCCCCUGGGUGCGCCCCCUGCCUCGUGGAGACCUCAUGUGCCCUCCGGACUUCGUUUUCUUGCACGAUACUUCUUUCGGUCAGUAAAAAUUCAUUAUAUAAUAUCCCGAAGGUUUCGACCACCAUACCACGACAAAAUCCUCUGCUUUUGUUUUGAGCUAUUUUUUUUGACAGAUCUAGAUCACCAUGACGUCUUCAAGUGCCCCCAAGGACAAGUUUUUCGAGAAGGUCAUCAACCCUUACCUCGCAGAGGUGCUGCAACACCCUCAAACCAUUGAGAUGUGUGAGGGGGUGCUGCACAUCCGCGAUGUUAAGGGACCGAGGAGGACCGGAAGCGUGGAGAUAAGACUCAAAGCAAUGGAGCAACAAGUUUUCAAGUGCCAAGGGAUGGUGGAACGCGGACUCAACGCCAACCAAAUGAUGAUCGCGGAGUUCACCAACAACCACAAGCUAGAUGCCAAGAACAUUGGGGAGAUCAUCUUCAAGCUUCACGAGAAAAUUGAGCACCUCCAAGCCCAGAUCUAUGACCUGCAAAACCAAAACUAUGAGUAUGAAUAUAGAUUCAAUAGAAUGAGUUUGGCUGCAAAUUUGAGGAUCCCGGAGAAUUGAUCAUCUUUCUAUGAUGGUGAGCCUAUGCCUUGGAAGAUGGACGACAAGCCUACAUCAUGAACACUCCAUCAUCACCACCUCCAAAGAAAGAGACAUAAACACAUGGGUAUGGGCACUUCCCUUGGCAACUUCCAAGCUUGGGGGAGGUGUCCCGGUAUCAUAUCACCAUCACACUCCUAUCUUUACCUUUUUUCUUAGUUCGAUCCUUUUGGUUAUAUCUUGAUCUAGUAGAAUAAAUUUCAGUAUGAUCUAGCUUUGAGUUUUGUUUCGAUCCCUAUCCAUGUAAUCGAGUCCGUGGGCUAAAUAUAAUAAAGAUUAAUUUUGAGUUGAGGGAUUUUGCUAUCUUGCUAUGAUCUUGAGGGAAUAAAAGAAUGAGAGAAAACGAUAAAAAGAAAUAAAAGAUCAUAUUGAUCUUAUGGAGAGUAAUGACUUCACAUAUAAAGAGUAUGAUGAAUAAAAGCUGUUGAGAGUUGACAAACAUAGUUUUGGUCAUCGUUGCAAUUAACAGGAAGUAAUAAAGAAAGAGAGGUUUUCACACAUAAAUAUAAUAUCUUGGACAUCUUUUACGAUUGUGAGCACUCAUUAAAAUUUGACAUGCUAAAAAGUUGAUGUUGGACAAGGAAGACAACAUAAUGGGUUAUGUUUUCUUAUAUCCGAAUAAGUUAUAUUGUCAUGGAUCAUCCAACAUGUUGAGCUUGCCUUUCCCCUCAUGCUAGCAAAAUUCUUUGCACCAAGUAGAGAUACUACUUGUGCUUCCAAACAUCCCUAAACCCAGUUUUGACAUGCUAAAAAAUGCUCUCUGAAUAUGUAUGAUCUAUUAGUGUGAAGAAAAUAAGCUUUAUACGAGCUUGUGAUAUGGAAGAAAUAAAAGCGACGGACUGCAUAAUAAAGGUCCCUAUCACAAGUGGCAAUAUAAAGUGACAUUCUUUUGCAUUAAGAUUUUGUGCAUCCAACCAUAAAAGUGCAUGACAACCUCCGCUUCCCUCUGCGAAGGGCCUAUCUUUUAUUUUUACCUUGUACCCUUAUACAAGAGUCAUGGUGAUCUUCACCUUUCCUUUUUACACUUUAUCCUUUGGCAAGCACUAUGUGUUGGAAAGAUCCUGAUAUAUAUAUAUAUAUAUAUAUCCACUUGGAUGUAGGUUUUCAUAAAUUAUUAUUGUUGACAUUACCCUUGAGGUAAAAGGUUGGGAGGCGAAAUUAUAAGCCCCUAUCUUUCUCUAUGUCCGAUUGAAACUUCAUACCCAUAAGUAUUGCAUGAGUGUUAGCAAUUGUGAAAUACUAAAUGAUAGUUGAGUAUGUGGACUUGCUGAAAAGCUUUUAUAUUGACUCUUUCCGAUGUUAUGAUAAAUUGCAAUUGCUUCAAUGACUGAGAUUAUAGUUUGCUAGUUUUCAAUGAAGUUUUUGAUUCAUACUUUACAUUGUGAAUAGAUUAUUACUUUAGCAUAAGAAAUCAUAUGACAAUAUAUAUGUUGUUGUUCUUAGAAUGAUCUUGAUGGCCUCAUGUCCGUAUUUUAUUUUAUCGACACCUCUAUCUCUAAACAUGUGGACAUAUUUUUCAAUAUCGGCUUCCGCUUUAGGACAAGCGAGGUCUAAGCAUGGGGGAGUUGAUAUGUCCAUUUUUCAUCAUGCUUUUAUAUCGAUAUUUAUUGCAUUAUGGGAUGUGAUUACACGUUAUGUCACAAUACUUAUGUCUUUCCUCUCUUAUUUUAUAAGGUUUACAUGAAGAGGGAGAAUGCCGACAGCUGGAAUUCUUGGCUGGAAAAGGAGCAAAUAUUAGAGACCUAUUCUGCACAACUCCAAAAGUCCUGAAACUCCACUAAAGUCAGUUUUGGAAUAUAUUAAAAAUAUUGUGUGAAGAAAGCACCAGAGGGGGGCCACCCAGCAACCACGAGGGUGGAGGGUGCGCCCCCCUGCCUCAUGGGCCACCUGGCAGGCCCCUGAUGCCCAUCUUCUGCUAUAUGGUGUCUUUAGCCCUGGAAAAAUCAUAAGGAAGCUUUCGGGAUGAAGCGCGGCCGUCUCGAGGCGGAACCUGGGCAGAACCAAUCUAGGGCUCCGGCGGAGCUGUUCUGCCAGGGAAACAUCCCUCUGGGAGGGGGAAAUUGUCGCCAUCGUCAUCACCAUCGAUCCUCUCAUCGAAAGGGGGUCAAUCUCCAUCAACAUCUUCACCAGCACCAUCUCCUCUCAAACCCUAGUUCAUCUCUUGUAUCCGAUCUUUGUCUCAAAACCUCAGAUUGGUACCUGUGGGUUGCUAGAAGUGUUGAUUACUCCUAGUAGUUGAUGCUAGAUGGUUUAUUCGGUGGAAGAUCAUAUGUUCAGAUCCUUAAUUCUAUUCAAUAGCCCUCUGAUUAUGAACAUGAAUAUGAUUUGUGAGUAGUUACGUUUGUUCCUGAGGACUGCUACGUCUUGACCUUGUGUUGGUUUUCCUUGAAGAGGAAAGGGUGAUGCAGCAAUAGUAGCAUAAGCAUUUCCCUCAGUUUUUGAGAACCAAGGUACCAAUCAAGUAGGAGGCUCCUCAAAAGUCCCACGCACCUACCCAAACAAACAAAGAACUCGCAACCAAUGCAAUAAAGGGGUUGUCAAUCCCUUCACGGCCACUUGCAAAAGUGAGAUCUGAUAGAUAUAGUAUGAUCAGAUAAAUAUAUUUUUGGUAUUUUAUAAUACAGAUUGGAAAAGUAAAGAUGCAGAUAAAAGUAGAUUGAAAGCUUAUAUGAUAAAAGAUAGACCCAGGGGCCAUAGGUUUCACUAGUGGCUUCUCUCAAGAUAGCAUAAGUAUUACGAUGGGUGAACAAAUUACUGUUGAGCAAUUGAUAGAAAAGCGAAUAAUUAUGAGAUUAUCUAGGCAUGAUCAUGUAUAUAGGCAUCAUGUCCGUGACAAGUAGACCGACUCCUGCAUGCAUCUACUACUAUUACUCCACACAUCGACCGCUAUCCAGCAUGCAUCUAGAGUAUUAACUUCAUAAGAACAGAGUAACGCAUUAAGAAAGAUGACAUGAUGUAGAGGGAUAAACUCAUGCAAUAUGAUAUUAUCCUCGAUGGCAACAGUAAAAUACGUGCCUUGCAACCCCUAUUGUCACUGGGUAAGGACACUGCAAGAUUGAACCCAAAACUAAGCACUUCUCCCAUUGCAAGAAAGAUCAAUCUAGUAGGCCAAACCAAACUGAUAAUUCGAAGAGACUUGCAAAGAUAACUCAAUCAUACAUAAAAGAAUUCAAAGGAGAUUCAAUAUUUCUCAUAGAUAAACUUGAUCAUAAACCCACAAUUCAUCGGAUCUCGACAAACACACCGCAAAAAGAGUUACAUCGAAUAGAUCACCACAAGAGAGGGGGAGAACAUGGUAUUGAGAUCCCAAAAGAGAGAAGAAGCCAUCUAACUAAUAACUAUGGACCCGAAGGUCUGUGGUAAACUACUCACAACUCAUCGGAGGGGCUAUGGUGUUGAUGUAGAAGCCCUCCAUGGUCGAUUCCCCCUUCGGCGGAGCGCCGGCAAAGGCUCCAAGAUGGGAUCUCACGGAUACAGAAGGUUACGACAGUGGAAAUUGUUUUUUGUUGGCUCCCUGGAUGUUUUCGAGGUACGUGGGUAUAUAUAGGAGGAAGAAGUAGGUCGGUGGCCGCUCGUGGGGCCCACGAGAUAGGGGGCGCGCCCUCCACCCUUGUGGCCACCUCGGCUGCUUCUUGGCUUGCACUCCAAGUCCUCUGGAUCACGUUCAUUCCAAAAAUCACGCUCGUGAAGGUUUCAUUCCGUUUGGACUCCGUUUGAUAUUCCUUUUCUUCAAAAUACUGAAAUAGGCAAAAAAACAACAAUACGGGCAGGGCCUCCGGUUAGUAGGUUAGUCCCAAAAAUGAUAUAAAUGUGUAAAAUAAAGCCCAUAAACAUCCAAAAGGGGUAAUAUAAUAGCAUGGAACAAUCAAAAAUUAUAGAUACGUUGGAGACGUAUCAAGCAUCCCCAAGCUUAAUUCCUGCUCGUCCUCGAGUAGGUAAAUGAUAAAAACAGAAUUUUUGAUGUGGAAUGCUACCUAACAUAAAUCUCAAUGUUAUUUUCUUUAUUGUGGCAUGAAUGUUCAGAUCCAAAUGAUUCAAAAUAAAAGUUCAUAUUGACAUAAUAAAUAGUAAUACUUCAAGCACACUAAUCAAAGCAAUCAUGUCUUCUCAAAAUAACAUGGCUAACGAAAGUUAUCCCUACAAAAUCAUAUAGUCUGGCUGUUGCUCUAUCUUCAUCACACAAAGUAUUUAAUCAUGCACAACCCCGAUGACAAGCCAAGCAAUUGUUUCAUACUUUAGUAAUCUCAAACUUUUUCAACUUUCAUGCAAUACAUGAGCGUGAGACAUGUACAUAGGACUAUAUGUGGAAUAGAAUGGUGGUUGUUGAGAAGACAAAAAAGGAGAAGAUAGUCUCACAUCAACUAGGCGUAUCAUCGGGCUAUGGAUAUGCCCAUUAAUAGAUAUCAAUGUGAGUGAGUAGGGAUUGCCAUGCAAAGGAUGUACCAGAGCUAUAAAUGUAUGAAAGCUUAACAAAAGAAACUAAGUGGGUGUGGAUCCAACUCGGUUGCUCACAAAGACCUAGGGCAUUUUGAGGAAGCCCAUCAUUGGAAUAUACAAGCCAAGUUCUAUAAUGAAAAAUUCCCACUAGUAUAUGAAAGUGACAACAUAGGAGACUCUCUAUCAUGAAGAUCAUGGUGCUACUUUGAAGCACAAUGUGGUAAAAGGAUAGUAGCAUUGUCCCUUCUCUCUUUUUCUCUCAUUUUGUAUUCUUUUUUUCUUUUUUCUCCUUUUUUCUUUUUUUUCUUUUGGCCUUUUUUUGGCCUUUCUCUUUUUUCUUCUGUAAAUUCCGAAGUCUCAUCCCGAGUUGUGGGGGAAUCAUAGUCUCCAUCAUCCUUUCCUCACUAGGACAAUGCUCUAACAAUGAAGACAAUCACACUUUUAUUUACUUACAACUCAAGAAUUAUAACUCAAAACUUAGAACAAGAUAUGACUCUAUAUGAAUGCCUCCGGCGGUGUACCGGGAUAUGCAAUGAAUCAAGAGUGACAUGUAUGAAAAUUAUGAAGGUGUCCUUGCCACAAAUACGAUGUCAACUACAUGAUCAUGCAAAGAGCAAUAUGACAAUGAUGAUGCGUGUCAUAUAAACAGAAUGGUGGAAAAUUGCAUGGCAAUAUAUUUCGGAAUGGCUAUGGAAAUGCCAUAAUAGGUAGGUAUGGUAGCUGUUUUGAGGAAGGUAUAUGGUGGGUGUAUGGUACCGGCGAAAGUUGCAUGGCACAAGAGAGGCUAGCAAUGGUGGUAGGGUGAGAGUGCGUAUAAUCCAUGGACUCAACAUUAGUCAAAAGAACUCAUAUACUUAUUGCAAAAAUCUACAAGUCAUGAAAAACAAAGUAUUACACACAUGCUCCUAGGGGAAUAGAUUGGUAGGAAAAGACCAUCGCUCGUCCCUGACCGCCACUCAUAAGGAAGACAAUCAAUAAAUAAAAUUGUGCUCCAACUUCAUCACAAAGUGGUUCACCAUACGUGCAUGCUACGAGAAUCACAAACUUCAACACAACAAUUCUUUAAAUUCAUAAGCACCCAACUAGCAUGACUUUAAUAUCACUACCUCCAUAUAUCAAAACAAUUAUCAAGUAUCAAAUUGAUCAUAGCAUCCAAUUCACUUCCUACGAUAGUUUUUAUUAUAACCAACUUGGAUGCCUACCAUUCUAGGACCAAUUUUAUAACCAUAGCAAAUACCAUGCUGUUCUAAGAGACUCUCAAAAUAAUAUAAGUGAAGCAUGAGAGACUAGCAAUUUCUACAAAAUUAAGCCACCGCCGUGCUCUAAAAGAUAUAAGUGAAGCACUAGAGCAAAAACUAUCUAGCUCAAAAGAUAUAAGUGAAGCAUGUAGAGUAUUCUAAUAAAUUUCAAUCAAAUGGGCUUCUCCCAAAAGGUGUGUACAGCAAGGAUGAUUGUGGAAAACUAAAAAUAGAAUACUAAUAUCAUACAUGACGCUCCAAGCAAAACACAUAUCAUGUGGUGAAUAAAAAUAUAGCACCAAGUAAUGUUACCGAUAAAAGAAGACGAAAGAGGGGAUGCCUUCCGGGGGCAUCCCCAAGCUUAGGCUUUUGGUUAAUCUUGAAUAUCUUGGUGUGCCAUGGGCAUCCCCAAGCUUAGGAUUUUGCCACUCCUUAUUCCAUAGUCCAUCAAAUCUUUACUCAAAACUUGAAAACUUCACAACACAAAACUCAACAGGAAAUCUCAUAAGCUCCGUUAGUGAAAGAAAGCAAAACCACCACAUAAGGUACUGUAAUGAAAUCAUUCUUUAUUUAUAUUGGUGUUAAACCUACUGUAUUUCAAGUUCUCUAUGGUUCAUACCACUUAAUACUAGCCAUAGAUGCAUCAAAAUUAGCAAACAACACACGAAAAACAGAAUCUAUCAAAAACUGAACAGUCUGUAGCAAUCUGUAACUAACGCAAACUUCUGGAACUCUAAAAAUCCUAACACAAUAAGAAGUCCUGGAAAAUUUGUUUAUUGAUCUACAUCAAAAUGAAUCAACGCAAAACCAUGUUUCUGUUAUUUAACAAAACUAAUUUUGUGCAUGCAAAAUUUCUGUUUUUCAGCAGAAUCAAAUUAACUAUCACCGUAGGUUAUCCUAUAGGUUCUACUUGGCACAAACACUAAUUAAAACAUAAAAACACAUCUAAACAGAAGAUAGAUGCAAAAUUUAUUACUAAACAAAAACAAAAACAAAAAACAC